UACAUACUGUGCGAACGUUAUUCGGAAUCACUGGGCUUAAAGGGUGCGUAGGCGGCUUGUUAAGUAGGGUGUGAAAUCCCCCAGCUCAACUGGGGAACUGCGCUCUAAACUGGCGAGCUGGAGUGAGAUAGGGGUGCAUGGAACUUCCAGUGGAGCGGUGAAAUGUGUUGAUAUUGGAAGGAACGCCGGAGGCGAAAGCGAUGCACUGGAUCUCAACUGACGCUGAGGCACGAAAGCCAGGGGAGCGAACGGG
This 253-nucleotide ribosomal RNA is filed under the name uncultured bacterium. RNAcentral's name for it is "partial 16S ribosomal RNA". It matches the Rfam family "Bacterial small subunit ribosomal RNA", at positions 524 to 776 of the family's 1533-position model. The record is from RNAcentral.